CAGUGCCGCGGUAAUACAGAGGGUGCGAGCGUUAAUCGGAUUUACUGGGCGUAAAGCGUGCGUAGGCGGCUUCUUAAGUCGGAUGUGAAAUCCCUGAGCUUAACUUAGGAAUUGCAUUCGAUACUGGGAAGCUAGAGUAUGGGAGAGGAUGGUAGAAUUCCAGGUGUAGCGGUGAAAUGCGUAGAGAUCUGGAGGAAUACCGAUGGCGAAGGCAGCCAUCUGGCCUAAUACUGACGCUGAGGUACGAAAGCAUGGGGAGCAAACAGGAUUAGAUACCCCUGUAGUCCCUGUCUCUUAUACA
This 301-nucleotide ribosomal RNA is filed under the name uncultured bacterium. RNAcentral describes it as "partial 16S ribosomal RNA". It matches the Rfam family "Bacterial small subunit ribosomal RNA", at positions 509 to 808 of the family's 1533-position model. The record is from RNAcentral.